GAUUUAUUUAAUUCUGGUUGUAGGAGAUAUGCGUACUGUUGCUACAUAGGUGUGUUGUAUGUUUGAUUCAUAAAAGCGAGAUAGCGGUUGUUCUCGUAGCUAGUAGUUAGAACUUGUAUUAGAAGCAAUUUUGAUUAGGGCAGUCGUAGAAAAGUGGUGAACACUCAGUGCCAGCUACCGCGGUUAAUCUGUUGGCUUGUUUCUCCGCUUUAGUAUAAAUUAGUAUAAAAGAUAAGAGAAAGGGGAGGUAGAAUUUAUUCCUUUGUUUUAUAAGUGCUUUUAUGCUUUUGGUGGCUUUUGAUAGAAAAGGAUUAGAGACCCUUGUAUAGAAGAUGGUAUUUUACAACUUUAGUUUAAACUGAAAGGAUUUGGCAGCCGAUGAAGUUCGUCCGGGGGAGUGUGUUGCUUAAUAAGAUAGUCCACUUAUAGUAUUACCUCUUUUAAAGGUUAGUGUAUAUCCGGUUUAAGAUCUGGGAUUGAUGUCCACAGGUGUAUAUUUUGUAAUUUACUCCAGGUCUUUGUGCUGCUAAUGAGGAGGGGUGGUAUGCACUACUAUGUUUAAAGCUGUUGUUAUUAAAAAUAACGGGUAUUCAGGACUCGGUAGUAGGGGAUAUUUGGUGAGUAUCCUCGAAGAGGAUUCAGUUGGGGUACACACCGCCCGUCAAUCAUGAUUUUUAGUUAUGAUAAGUCGUAACAUGGUAACGUUGGGGGAACCGAACGUUAGUAACUC
Molecule: ribosomal RNA, 730 nt
Filed under: Diplodiscus nigromaculati
Lineage: Eukaryota; Metazoa; Platyhelminthes; Trematoda; Plagiorchiida; Diplodiscidae
Description: 12S ribosomal RNA
Source: RNAcentral